UCCGAACUUACUAACCCAGCUUUGGUUUCUCUGGCUUAAACUAAUCUGGGAGCAGGGUAUCAUGUGCCCGCUCACCUAUUGGUGCGGCUGGUGGAUACAGAGAGAUCAACGAUGAGGAGACCCUCGUCGUUCUUCUGAUUGCAGCCAGUUGCGUGAUGUGAUGGCGGAGUUGUUCUGCAACCGCCUAGGGGCCAUGGACGAUGGAGAACUUCCUAACGCAGUAUGCGAGCGGGGACGAUGGAGAACUUCCUGGCGCAGUGUGCACGCGAGUGGGUUUCAGGACAGUUCAUGAUACAAGGUCAAGCUCAGCUUGGUGUAAGUUCCAAAUAUAUAUUGUGCCUCAGUUUGAGUUGCAUCCACAAGCAGCUCUCACUAAUUCCAAUACACCUUAAAUUGAUUUGGAUCAUUAAUGUUGGACUGUGGACAUAUAUCUAUAUCCGAUUGUACUCCGGGUGUUUUCAAUUCUGAAAUAUUUUUUGGCAAUUUGAUUCUGAAAUUUUAGCUUGAUGUUGAGAAAACGAGCAAAUUUUGUGGUGCACUUGGAUCAGGUUUUAUGCUUACAGUUUCAAGGGGAAACAUUCGGGGUUGUGAUCCAAGUAUAUGAAAUCAGUUUAUCUAAAUUGAGUUGUCGACAGUACAUCCUCUAAAUUAGCUUAUCUGAAAUCAGUUUGUUUUUAUUAAUUGUUGCGCAGGGGGCAUGAUAGCCAUGGCCAACUUUGAGCCCAGCAUCAAGUUGGAAAGCUUUAUCUGAGAUGUGUUUUUUAGCUAUGCCCUUUUAUGUCUUAGUUUGGUCUCUGAAUUUUCGGGCGGCGCUUAUCAUUUAAGAUCAACACAGCACUUUGCUUCAUUUGUGCUUCAAAGAAAGCUGCUGCAUAGGGACAUUUGAUGUGGUGGAUUUCAGAGAAUCAUUUUAGGGUAUUGCAUUCCGUUCAGAAAUUUUGACAUUUGGACAGUGUGUACAAUUGAAAGGAAUAGCUGGAUAUGAGUUAUUUAGGUUCAACGUUUCAACUUGUUGACAAUUUUUUAUGUUUAUCCUGGCAGAAAAGUGGAGCAGCUGUGUGAAGAGGUUGCUUAAUUGAAGGGAAUCAUCGAGAAGAUGUUACUAUCUUUCAUGCAUAAAAAUAAUUUUGGAGGAUGCAUGGAUCAAAGAGAUUAUGGAUUACCACAAGCUUAUGUGUAUCCAUGGGAGUUAUCUGUGUAUUAGAAUAUGGAUACACAUGUAACUAUAGCUUCAUUGCCCACCUAUUUUUGAUUUUUAUGCAGUUUUUAUUGCUUAAAAUUUUAUAUUAAUCUUCUUCCGUUGCAAUGCAUGGGUAUUU
RNAcentral lists this long non-coding RNA (1319 nucleotides) under Triticum aestivum (bread wheat). Its description in RNAcentral is "long non-coding RNA (TAES_LNC016766)". Lineage: Eukaryota; Viridiplantae; Streptophyta; Magnoliopsida; Poales; Poaceae. The record is from RNAcentral.